Panthera uncia (snow leopard) is the source of this 966-nucleotide long non-coding RNA. RefSeq lists it as uncharacterized. The transcript is spliced from 4 exons. NCBI's taxonomy places the organism in Eukaryota, Metazoa, Chordata, Mammalia, Carnivora, Felidae. The record is from RefSeq and is a predicted model, not a curated record.
GGGGAGGGCCACAGAGAGAGGGAGACACAGAAUCCGAAGCAGGCUCCAGGCUCUGAGCUGUCAGCACAGAGCCCGACACGGGGCUCGAACCCACGAACUGUGAGAUCACGACCUGAGCCGAAGUUGGACACCCAACCAACUGAGCCACUCAGGCGCCCUCUGGCCUGUAGUCUUAAAGAGAGACUACUGCCGAUUGGAGGAGACAAAAGAGACGUGGCAACUAAGUGCAGCGUGUGAUUCUGAACUGUGUCCCUUCACUGUGCAGCGUGGAGCUGGGACAACUGGCAAAACCCGACGAAGAUGGAGAGGUGAGAUGGUUGCACUCGGUGAACCAGGCCAGUCACGGAGGACAAGCACGGUGGCUGGUUGGAUUUUGCCCAUCGCCUCCACCCCCAGGCCCACCCCCGUAUGACCUGCUGGCCACUCAGAGCUCCUAAGCCUGCUAUCAGUCUUCUCUCCAGGAACCUCUCCUGGGGACAGUUAGAGGGGUGGAGCGUGUCCCAGCCAAAGACACAGCUCCGUGGCACUUUGAAACACCACUUUCCUCGGCUUCCGGAAAACCAGCGAAAUCUAUUCAUGAUGGGGAAGGGCCAUGCCUCUGCAGCCACUGUUGGAAAUCCUAUGGCAAAGGGCACUGCCCGGCAUGCUUUGUCUUCUGGAUGCCAUCCCCUUCGACAGGCUGACCGGAUGGCAGCACAAUGAGGGGGCACACAAGGUCAACUUUGCUACUGCCUGUUCAAUCUGCAUGCUACCCCACAGUCAAGGCUGAAUGCUGAAAUCAGUGACGACCUCGGCCUGUCUUCAUUCUGAAGGUGUACUCUUAAGUAACCAAAUCCAUUUCUUCACAGUUAAUUUAAUGGAGCUUCCAAAAAGUGUCAGACAUACUCUAAAAAGAAAAGAGAAUCGGAUCAAAAUGCCUCUUGACAAGAGACUACAUUUAUGUUCCUAAAUAAAUUUACAAUUAAA